CCUUUUGUAUAAUGGGUCAGCGACUUAUAUUCUGUAGCAAGGUUAACCGAAUAGGGGAGCCGAAGGGAAACCGAGUCUUAACUGGGCGUUAAGUUGCAGGGUAUAGACCCGAAACCCGGUGAUCUAGCCAUGGGCAGGUUGAAGGUUGGGUAACACUAACUGGAGGACCGAACCGACUAAUGUUGAAAAAUUAGCGGAUGACUUGUGGCUGGGGGUGAAAGGCCAAUCAAACCGGGAGAUAGCUGGUUCUCCCCGAAAGCUAUUUAGGUAGCGCCUCGUGAAUUCAUCUCCGGGGGUAGAGCACUGUUUCGGCAAGGGGGUCAUCCCGACUUACCAACCCGAUGCAAACUGCGAAUACCGGAGAAUGUUAUCACGGGAGACACACGGCGGGUGCUAACGUCCGUCGUGAAGAGGGAAACAACCCAGACCGCCAGCUAAGGUCCCAAAGUCAUGGUUAAGUGGGAAACGAUGUGGGAAGGCCCAGACAGCCAGGAUGUUGGCUUAGAAGCAGCCAUCAUUUAAAGAAAGCGUAAUAGCUCACUGGUCGAGUCGGCCUGCGCGGAAGAUGUAACGGGGCUAAACCAUGCACCGAAGCUGCGGCAGCGACGCUGAUGCGUUGUUGGGUAGGGGAGCGUUCUGUAAGCCUGCGAAGGUGUGCUGUGAGGCAUGCUGGAGGUAUCAGAAGUGCGAAUGCUGACAUAAGUAACGAUAAAGCGGGUGAAAAGCCCGCUCGCCGGAAGACCAAGGGUUCCUGUCCAACGUUAAUCGGGGCAGGGUGAGUCGACCCCUAAGGCGAGGCCGAAAGGCGUAGUCGAUGGGAAACAGGUUAAUAUUCCUGUACUUGGUGUUACUGCGAAGGGGGGACGGAGAAGGCUAUGUUGGCCGGGCGGCGGUUGUCCCGGUUUAAGCGU
RNAcentral lists this ribosomal RNA (911 nucleotides) under Escherichia coli. RNAcentral's name for it is "partial 23S ribosomal RNA". It matches the Rfam family "Bacterial large subunit ribosomal RNA", at positions 604 to 1519 of the family's 2925-position model. The record is from RNAcentral. Lineage: Bacteria; Pseudomonadati; Pseudomonadota; Gammaproteobacteria; Enterobacterales; Enterobacteriaceae.